RNAcentral lists this non-coding RNA (29 nucleotides) under Cricetulus griseus (Chinese hamster). Lineage: Eukaryota; Metazoa; Chordata; Mammalia; Rodentia; Cricetidae. The record is from RNAcentral.
AGGGAUUUAGAAAACCACUAGCCCACGCG